Molecule: ribosomal RNA, 253 nt
Filed under: uncultured bacterium
Lineage: Bacteria
Description: partial 16S ribosomal RNA
Rfam family: Bacterial small subunit ribosomal RNA
Source: RNAcentral
UACGGGGGGAGCAAGCGUUGUUCGGAUUUACUGGGCGUAAAGGGCGCGUAGGCGGCUUUGCAAGUGGCGGGUGAAAUCCCUCGGCUUAACCGAGGAACUGCCUGCCAGACUGUGAGGCUUGAGACCGGGAGAGGUGAGUGGAACUGCGAGUGUAGAGGUGAAAUUCGUAGAUAUUCGCAAGAACACCAGUGGCGAAGGCGGCUCACUGGCCCAUUACUGACGCUGAGGCACGAAAGCGUGGGGAGCAAACAGG